CUGAACCAGCCAAGUAGCGUGAAGGAUGACUGCCCUAUGGGUUGUAAACUUCUUUUAUAAAGGAAUAAAGUCGGGUAUGCAUACCCGUUUGCAUGUACUUUAUGAAUAAGGAUCGGCUAACUCCGUGCCAGCAGCCGCGGUAAUACGGAGGAUCCGAGCGUUAUCCGGAUUUAUUGGGUUUAAAGGGAGCGUAGGCGGAUUGUUAAGUCAGUUGUGAAAGUUUGCGG
This 227-nucleotide ribosomal RNA is filed under the name uncultured bacterium. RNAcentral describes it as "partial 16S ribosomal RNA". It matches the Rfam family "Bacterial small subunit ribosomal RNA", at positions 383 to 607 of the family's 1533-position model. The record is from RNAcentral.